This 2178-nucleotide long non-coding RNA is filed under the name Equus asinus (donkey). RNAcentral's name for it is "lncRNA (ENSEASG00005025854.1)". Lineage: Eukaryota; Metazoa; Chordata; Mammalia; Perissodactyla; Equidae. The record is from RNAcentral.
GUGGGGCCCAGAGAUCUGUUUUAACCAGUCUUUCGGGUGAUUCUGAUGUGAGCUCAAGCUGGAGAAUCACUGGUCUCUAGAACCGUGUUACACAAAGUUGCUGCCGACCAGCAACAUCAGCCUCACCUUGAGUCCCACCCCGACCUCCUAAUUCGGAAUCUGCCUUUUAACAAACUCCUCAGUUGCUUCUUGGGCACGUUAAAGUCAGAAGUGCUGAUCCAGAGAAUGUCUAAAAUCUAGUCUCAGAAGUGAAGGAGGGCCUUACAUCCAUCAAACAGCAGAUGGGAGUAAAAUAGUAAUUCUAAUGCAUGUGACACAGGCAAAGCUGGCAUAGAGUGAAGAAGAAAGCUGCCGUAUUGGUAUUCUACCACCUCCAUCAAUGGGCGUGCCCCAAUCUGCAAGGGAUGCUGAGAAAGCAAGUGCCUGGCAAAAGAGAAUGAGGUUGUCUUAUUGGUUCUUGUACUUAACUUUACCCCUUGGGGAUUGGGGCAGGGCCUACUUCACUGAGCCUGUUGUCAUCUGAACAGAAUCAGGGUCUAUAACUAAGGAAGAAGGGAGCAGGCAAUAGCUAUUGGUUUAGUAGCCAGUGGCAUCCAGAACAGGUGAUUACUAUCCUACUAUUGCAGCACCAAGAUUGCAUUGACAUGUUUGGGAACCACAAAACUGGUAGACUCCAAGUCAACAAAACUCCAGAGGUAUGUUCCACAUGAGGACUAUGGAAUUAUCACAGCCUGUAAUCUGUAGUUAUUUGAAAAAGUGCAAACUAAAAUUUUCCCUUGUAGAAUUCAUCUAGUUAAAGUGGACUUGGUUCUCUGACUCCUGCAAAUUUGAUCAGGAUUUCUUCUAUUUUUCUCACCUGAAAUCACCAAUAAAAAUGAUGAGGGCUAUGGCUGAAGCCCUAUGGUAUACAAUAUGAGACCUCUCCCAGCUUACCUUUAAUUGGCAUUUUUGGGACAUGUUUGCUUACCCAGUUAUCAUUAUACUCAGUAAUGCUGUCAUCCAUUCUACAUUUUUCCAAAAACAGGUCAUAAAAGAGUUUUUCAAAUAUCUUGCUGAAAUCCAGAUAGCCUCUAUUAGAGCAUUCCCUCACCAACGUCUAAAAGAGAUCAAGGAUGUUAUCAAAAAAGGGAACAAAGUUACUUUUAUAGAACUUGUAUUUAGGUGAAACUAUAUUGGUUCCCAGUUUCUACCAAUUCAUUUUCUUUUUUUUUUUUGCUUUUUUUUUUUUUUUUUUUUUUUUUUUUUUUUUUUGUGAGGAAGAUUGGCCCUGAGCUAACAUCUUUGCCAAUCUUCCCCUUUUUGCUUGGGAAGGAUUGUUGCUGAGCUAACAUCUGUGCCAAUCUUCCUGUAUUUUGUAUGUGGGAUGCUGCCACAGCAUGGCUUGAUGAGCAGUGCUAGGUCCACACCGAGGAUCUGAACCUGUGAACCCUGGGCCGCUGAAACAGAACAUGCAAACUUAACCACUAUACCACCAGGUUGGCCCCUACCAAUUAAUUUUCUAAGUGCAUAUUAUCCAUCCCUUUUAUUCAUUCAUUCUUUUAUUUUUAUAACAGCUUUAUUGAGCUAUAAUUUACAUUCCAUAAAACACACCCUUUUAAAGUGUUUGGUUUAAUGGUUUUUAGUAUGUUCACAGAGUCAUGCAAUUAUCACCACAAUGUUAGAACAUUUCAUCAUUCCAAAAAGAAACCCCUAAGAAAAUUUUAUGCUUCAAAGCAAGUGAAAAUACAUCCACAGAAUGGGAGAAAAUAUUUGUAAAUCAUACACCUGAUAAGAGUCUAAUAGCUAGAAUAUAAAAGAACUAUUACAACUCAACAAUAAAAAGACAACCCAAAUAAAAAUGGGCAAAGUAUCUGGAUAGACAUUUCUCCAAAGAAGAUCUACAAAUGGCCAAUAAGCACAUGAAAAUAUGUUGAAUAUUAUUAAUCAUUAGGGAAAUGCAAAUCAAAAACAAAAUGAUAUGUCACUUCAUACCCACUAGGAUGUGAGUUAAUUUUUGUAUAUAGUGUUAGUAGAGGGUCCAACUUCUAUUCCUUUCUGUGUAGAAAUUCAUUUGUCUCAUCACCAUUUGUUGAGAAGACUAUUCAUACCUAGUUGAAUUGUCUUGGCACCCUUGUCAGAAAUCAAUUCACUGGUAUAAGUGGGUGAAUUGUAUAGUAUGUGAAUUAUACCUCAAUAAAG